Trichosurus vulpecula (common brushtail) is the source of this 129-nucleotide small nuclear RNA. The record is from RefSeq and is a predicted model, not a curated record. NCBI's taxonomy places the organism in Eukaryota, Metazoa, Chordata, Mammalia, Diprotodontia, Phalangeridae.
UCUAUAUAUGAAAGGAGAGAGGGUUAGCAUUCCCCUUUAUAAGGAUGAAAGAGGUCCUAGUGGCCUUUAUAAAUGCAGAUAUGGUUAAAACAUUACCACAGAGUCUGUGGCAUCUAACCACGUAAGCUG